GAUGAACGCUGGCGGCGUGCCUAACACAUGCAAGUCGAACGAAGCACCUUGAUUUCCUCGGAUUGAUAGGUGACUGAGUGGCGGACGGGUGAGUAACGCGUGGGUAACCUGCCUCAUACAGGAGGAUAACAGUUAGAAAUGGCUGCUAAUACCGCAUAAGCGCACAGUACCGCAUGGUACCGUGUGAAAAACUCCGGUGGUAUGAGAUGGACCCGCGUCUGAUUAGCUAGUUGGUAAGGUAACGGCUUACCAAGGCGACGAUCAGUAGCCGGCCUGAGAGGUGAUCGGCCACAUUGGGACUGAGACACGGCCCAAAUCCUACGGAGGCAGCAGUGGGAAUAUUGCACAAUGGGGAAACCCUGG
RNAcentral lists this ribosomal RNA (363 nucleotides) under uncultured bacterium. RNAcentral describes it as "bacterial SSU rRNA". It matches the Rfam family "Bacterial small subunit ribosomal RNA", at positions 28 to 386 of the family's 1533-position model. The record is from RNAcentral.